Molecule: ribosomal RNA, 774 nt
Filed under: uncultured Neocallimastigales
Lineage: Eukaryota; Fungi; Neocallimastigomycota; Neocallimastigomycetes; Neocallimastigales
Description: partial large subunit ribosomal RNA
Rfam family: Eukaryotic large subunit ribosomal RNA
Source: RNAcentral
AGAGAGAGACAUGCGCGCAUAUCAAUAAGCGGAGGAAAAGAAACUAACUAGGAUUCCCUCAGUAACGGCGAGUGAAGCGGGAAGAGCUCAAAUUUGAAAUCUUCGAGGUUCUACCUUGACGAAUUGUAGUUUAAAGAAGUGUUUUCUGUUGGAGUUUUGGUAAAAGUUCUUUGGAAUAGGACAUCAUAGAGGGUGAGAAUCCCGUAUUUGACCAUUAUUUCCAGCUUUGUGAUACACUUUCAAAGAGUCGGAUUGUAUGGGAAUGCAGUCCAAAAUGGGUGGUAAAUUUCAUCUAAAGCUAAAUAUUGGCGAGAGACCGAUAGCGAACAAGUACCGUGAGGGAAAGAUGAAAAGAACUUUGAAAAGAGAGUUAAACAGUACGUGAAAUUGUCAAAAGGGAAGCGUUUGACACCAGUGUUGUUUUUCUGAAAAUCAAUUAAAGAACUGUUUAUGCUAAGUUGUUUAGACUUUAUCAGCUAACUGUUUAGUUUUGAGCUUUUCUUUAAUGCACUUUUCAGUUAACAAGUCAACAUCAAUUUCUUUUGCUGUAAAAAAGCUUGAGGAAGGUGGCUUGAGAUUCGUCUUAAGUGUUUAUAGCCUCUUGCCUAUGCAGUCGGAGAGAUUGAGGUCUGCAGCGUAGAUCCUUCGGGGCUAAAUGCAUUUGUGCUAAGUUAUAGCAUUUUAUAGACAACUUGUUGACUAUGAUUUGUCUUGUAGCUUACUCGCUUAUGUUAUUUUACCUACGCUUAGGAUGUUGAGCGCAUGUCUCUCUCU